GGUGGGAUAACCCCGGGAAAGUGGGGAUAAUACCGGAUAACGCAUAUCUGCUGGAAUCCUUUAUGCGUAAAAUGGAUUUCUCUGCCCAACAUGGGUCUGCGGCCUAUGAGGUAGUAGUGGGUGUAAUGUACCUAGUAGCCUAGGACGGGUACGGGUUGUGAGAGCAAGAGCCCGGACAUGGAUUGUGAGAGAUGAAUCCAGGCCCUACGGGGCGCAGCAGGCGCGAAAAGUUUACAAUGCGGGAAACCGUGAUAAGGGGAGACCGACUGCCAGCAUCAUAUGUUGGCUGUCCAGAUGUGUAAAAUACAUCUGUUAGCAAGGGCCGGGCAAGACCAGUGCCAGCCGCCGCGGUAACACCGGCGGCCCGAGUCCUGAUGGUGAUUAUUGGGUCUAAAGGGUCCGUAGCCGGUUUGGUGAGUCCUCCGGGAAAUCUGACGGCUCAACCGUUAGGCUUUCGGUGGAUACUGCCACACUUGGAACCGGGAGACCUAAGAGGUACUACAGGGGUAGGAGUCAAAUCUUGUAAUCCCUGUGAGAGCACCUGUGGCGAAGGCGUCUUACCAGAACGGGUUCGACGGUGAGCGACCAAAGCUGGGGGCACGAACCGGAUUAGAUACCCGCGUACUCCCAGCGGUAAACGAUGCUCGCUACGUGUCAGGCAUGGCGCGACCGUGUCUGUGCCGCAGGGAAGCCGUGAAGCGAGCCACCUGGGAACUACGGCCGCAAGGCUGAAACUUAAAGGAAUUGGCGGGGGAGCACAAGAACGGGUGGAGCCUGCGGUUUAAUUAACGCCGGACAACUCACCGGGGACGACAGCAAUAUGUAGGCCAGGGUAAAGACCUUGCCUAAUCGCUGAGAGGAGGUGGAUGGCCGUCGCCAGUUCGUACUGUGAAGGAUGGUGUUAAGUCAGGCAACGAGCGAGACGCGUGCCCAGUGUUACCAGCAUGUGG
Molecule: ribosomal RNA, 950 nt
Filed under: uncultured archaeon
Lineage: Archaea
Description: bacterial SSU rRNA
Rfam family: Archaeal small subunit ribosomal RNA
Source: RNAcentral